This 465-nucleotide ribosomal RNA is filed under the name Pseudomonas aeruginosa. RNAcentral's name for it is "partial 16S ribosomal RNA". It matches the Rfam family "Bacterial small subunit ribosomal RNA", at positions 1068 to 1533 of the family's 1533-position model. RNAcentral also lists the same sequence under 1 other name. The record is from RNAcentral. Lineage: Bacteria; Pseudomonadati; Pseudomonadota; Gammaproteobacteria; Pseudomonadales; Pseudomonadaceae.
UGAGAUGUUGGGUUAAGUCCCGUAACGAGCGCAACCCUUGUCCUUAGUUACCAGCACCUCGGGUGGGCACUCUAAGGAGACUGCCGGUGACAAACCGGAGGAAGGUGGGGAUGACGUCAAGUCAUCAUGGCCCUUACGGCCAGGGCUACACACGUGCUACAAUGGUCGGUACAAAGGGUUGCCAAGCCGCGAGGUGGAGCUAAUCCCAUAAAACCGAUCGUAGUCCGGAUCGCAGUCUGCAACUCGACUGCGUGAAGUCGGAAUCGCUAGUAAUCGUGAAUCAGAAUGUCACGGUGAAUACGUUCCCGGGCCUUGUACACACCGCCCGUCACACCAUGGGAGUGGGUUGCUCCAGAAGUAGCUAGUCUAACCGCAAGGGGGACGGUUACCACGGAGUGAUUCAUGACUGGGGUGAAGUCGUAACAAGGUAGCCGUAGGGGAACCUGCGGCUGGAUCACCUCCUUA